RNAcentral lists this unclassified non-coding RNA (4629 nucleotides) under Leishmania donovani. RNAcentral's name for it is "gene:LdHU3.31.2990(CDS-product:Cullin_protein_ned dylation_domain_containing_protein_putative)". The record is from RNAcentral. Lineage: Eukaryota; Euglenozoa; Kinetoplastea; Trypanosomatida; Trypanosomatidae.
UCCUUGUUCUCGCUCGUGAGGCGCCGAGGUGGGCACUCGCGGGCUGUUAGCUCAGAGCUCCUUCGCCAGGUCACGCCCGUAUCAUAGCCUGGUCUCCUCCUCCCUUUUCCCUCUUUUUUCCCUCAUAUAGUACGGCCGCCUCUUCCGUUGUGGUUCUCCUUGUCCUUGCCUCUUCGCACGCAUACAGGCACGCACCCUUCUCUUUUUCAGUGGUGAGUGCCUCACUGCAGAACAGCGGCCUCAGUGAAACCACAGUGUGCUGUUGCCCCUUCUGUGUCAGCGACACACCCCGCCACCCCCACCUCUCUCUCUCACAAAACUCGCUCACACACCCACACCUGAGCCAACAGCGACAAUGGGCUUCGGCACCGAUUUCACCGAAGAGGAGCUGGCAGAGCUCGAGAAGCUAGAUAGCAUCUAUGACAAGCUACUACCCAAGCGCAGUUCCGAGAGCAACAACGUGAGCUCCUCUUUCCUCUACAGGCUAGAUGAUCAUGGCCGAAUCCCGCUCCGGGACUUCUUUGUUCCUUCCGCUGGUUCCCCAUCAGUGGCACGGAUGCGAUCGAACCCACCCGGGAUCGCGGCCAAGUGGCAAACGAUGCUGCGUGAGAUGAACGGCGAGAUGGUGGUGCGCAGCGGGCAGAACAUCCGCAACACACGCGCCGUCAUCAACCGUAUUCUCUCUUGGUCGAUCACGUUCCAACAAGCAGAUCGCGCAGCGGCGGCGGUGAGCCUCGGCCACGAUGGCGGGCGCGCCUUGGCGCGUGAGUGGGUUCGCGGCAUUGUCGUUUACUUUCAGGAGCGCAUGGACAAGCUGUUUGCCGAGCUGAACAUUACCGCACAGGAGGAUGCGUGUGUACAAGAACUUAAGUUGCCCGGGAUGGACGGAGUCGACCUCGUGUCGCGAUGUGUAGAGGCAGCCCGCACCGUCAUUACGCCCAUGCUGACCACAAGCCCGUACUUCAUCGGCAUUGUUCGAUGCUGCCGUGAGAUGGUGCUCGCACUUAAGGUGGUGCAGGGCCUUCUCUCCCACAUUUCAUCGCACACACGUCUCAUGCCAUCCUCAGCCAUGGUGACCACCCCGGAUGGGCGCCGCAACGCCCUUGCGAUCUUGACGCUCGGCGAAGACUUCCUCGAGUCGCUUCGGACGCCACUGUGGCUCUUCCGAUCUGUCCUGCUCUUUCUUGGCGCGCUAGAUCUUCAGCAGUCCCCGCAACGCGAGGCCACCAUCAGCGAGCAGCACCUCGACCACUCGAUUCACUGCAUUGCCUCCCUCGUAGCGGAGGUCGAAUCGAAGAGGGACAGCAGCGCCGCCGCAAGCCUGGAGGUGCGCGCGACCCUCGACGCACUCGUUCUUGGGCACGUCAAGAACGCCUGUCUAGCACGCUUCCCCCCAAGCAAAACGCUGGAGCUGCUCGAGCACGCGCAAGGUGUGCGGAAGGACGUAGCAGCUUCUGAGGCCGCCGUCGGCCCCCUUGCGCGCUGCAACCCAGUGCUAAAGCAGCUUCUAGUCGACUACCCCACGUUCGUGGAAUCUACAGCGAAGUUUGUGGAGCGCAACGAGAUGAGUGACUGGGGUAUCUCACUCAUGUUGGUGCAGCUCUUCUGCUGGGACGUGAAGACGCCUCCGGACUCGGCCGCACAAGCCAAGCGGCAGGUCAUCUAUCAUGUUCCAAAGCUGACGGGCGCGUUUCCGCAUGGAUCGACGGUGCUGAACGCCAUGGUGCGCGAAGCGCUGCAUCCGCUGCUCUCUGCGCUGUUCUCAGCGCUUCCAUCUGGCGUCAGAGGCUAUGGCACCAGUGGCGGCGCGAUCGGAGCCGAGACCUCCACUAGGGCUUCCGAUGGGAGCGCUGUGGCAGGACCGGGUCGCACGUCCACCAUAGACGGUUACGACGCUGGGCUUUUGCUUUACCCCUCUGAGCAGAAAGUCUGUGCUGCGCUUCUCACGCUGGCGACGUGGCUGCAGGGCCUCUCUUUUCCGGCGGGGUCCCGCAUGCAGAGAUGGGCCUCUCUGGAUGUGGGCGACCAAAUCAUGCGGGAGUUCAAUCUCGGUGAGGGCUGCUUUACGAGUGUGCUGGGCGAGGUGCUACACGAUGUGAUCGCCAACGCUCUAGAUCAGGUCGAGAACGACUGCAAACACAGCUGCGCUACCAGGGUGGUCACCGCUGUCGAGACGGACGACUCUGUGUCCAGACUGAGCACGGCGGUACUGCAGUACCUGCGCCGUGUCGAGCGCAUCUGGAACGCUGUAACGGAGCCCUCCCUUGAGCUGCACCUGUCUGCCUUCGACGAUGUUUUUGCGAUCGGUGCUAAGACACUGCCUUCGGUUGCCGCCGCGUCGACCUUUGGCAUCGCUGCAGACGUCAGCGCCACCGCCGAGCGUGCCAGGUACGACACUACCCUGUUCGGGGACUGCAAGUAUCUCUUCUACGACACCGUGCAAAAUGUGAUGAGGGCGAGGUGGCCCGGUCAGUACGCCGAUAUGCUCACCGAUCCCUUACUGCAGAGUGUGCAUGUGUACUUGCUCCGAGCCGAGAGCGCAAGCCAGCGCGGCAGGGGACUGCGAUCGGUUGCCCUACGGGGGGCACCGGUACGAACGAUUGGUGCGAAGUGGCCAAACCCACCGCCGCAGCCAGCGCCAAAGGAACUCGCGCCUCGCCCGGUGAACACAGGCGCUGCAGCUGCACCCGCCCGUGGCCCGCCCCCCAGCGCGGCGGAGCAGGAUGCCGUGGUUUGCACAUCAAAGGAAGAGUUGCACAGCGCUCUCCGCAUGGUGCGGUGCAUCAAGAACCGAGACCUCUUUAUCAACCGCUACACCAUCACGGUACGGGAGCGUCUUCUGACUCGGCCGGCCCCCGAUGUCAUUUCCGAUGCCGAGCUGGAGAGCAACAAGAAGCGUCAUGAGCAAGAGGCAGAGCAAUUUCUCGCCACGUGGCUCGGCGAUGCAUCCCUGCUCAAGCCUGUCCGCGAGCUCCAUAUGAGUUACUCCGCGCAGAGCGAGCUCUUCGACCUCGCCUCAAAGGGCUCUGUGGGGGUGGGCGAGGCGCCGACCAAAGGCAUCAGGCUUGCCACCACCAUUCUCGACUGGCGUGUAUGGGGAAACAAAGAAGCGGCAUCAGCGGCAACUUCCUGUCAAGCAAGUGAGAGCGGUGCCGCCCCCGCUGCUUUUCCAACGUCUGCGGCAGAGCUGGUCGCCCGGGCCGGGCAGGCGCUCUCCAUGGCCCUGUCAGAAACAGCAACGUUACCCUUUCCGAAUGACGCUCUUGUGCACCUUCAAAAGGUGGAGCACGCGUACAACGAGAAGCACUCGAACCGCAUCUUGCGGUGGGACUGGAACGACCACGCGUACACGAGCUUCACCGUGUCCUACCCCAAAGAAGGCGGCCGUGUGACGACCAUUCACGGCACGCUCUUGCUGCAGCGACUCUUCCUCGCGAUUGCCGCGUAUGGCCGGGCCGGGGUGGAGUUGAAGACGCUAGCAAAACGAGCUGGCAUGGAUGAGCGGCGCAUCGCUGCUGUUCUGAGGCUGUGUCUCGACCGCGACAAGCUACUGGUUCGCAUCAGCAGUAGCAGCGAUGGUGCGGGUGAGGCAGCUCCGUCCGGUGGGGUACACAUUGCCCUCAACUACGACUAUACUCGGCCGCCUAGCCGCCCGCAUGGUGAGUUCACGUACUGGCCCAACGCCGAACGCCGCCGCGUGGCCGCUGGCACUGUGGAUGAGGACGCUACCAUCACGAAGCGGCGUAACAUGAUCAAGACCUCCAUCAUGCAGAUUAUGAAGCAUGUGCAGCGCAUCAAGCACGACGAACUGUACAACACGGUACGCGAGAAGAACGCAAAGGCGUUUGAUGUUACGGUGCGUAACUUCAAGCAAGAGAUCGAAGGGCUCAUCGGUCAGGACUUCAUGGCGCGUUCAUGCAAGGACUCGAACGUGUACGUGUUCCGUGCAUAGGGCGAUCGUGAGACAUGCAUGCAGCGCAAGUCAUUUUAGGUUGGGAGGGAGGAUGAGUGUCUAAACUCGCACUCUCCUCCUCAGGUAGGCGCCUCUUCAUGUUUCAUGUUCUGUUUCUUCUUUUGAGAGAUUGCACACACACGCCGCGAGUGACCGGUUCCGGGGCCAUAGUGUGCACUUUCUCUCGUUCCCUUCGUUAUUUCACCCUCUCCAGACACAUAUAUAUGUAUACAUGUGUGUGUGUGUAUGUCGUGUUACUCGCUGGGUGUAUUGAUUUGUUCUUUGUGUGCUCUGCUUCCUUUGCUUGAUUGUUCCGGUGUCUGCGUCCCUGCCUGUGUGGGUGUGAGCUGUGCCACCUAGCGUGCCACUUGUUUGCUGUUGUCUCCCUUCAUGGCUCCGACUCUCCCCCUCCCCCUCCUCUUACUGCUUUCUCAUCUCGUAUAUACAUGUGUAUGUGCGUGUGUGUGUGUGCCCCGCUUAAUGAUGUGUCUGUGUCGUUCCUCUCUCUCUCUGUAUCUACUGAGGAAUGUGUUGCCACGAGCAGUGUACCUUGUUGCUGCUGUUACUCUCGGUUUGGUCACACAUCGAUUUUUUUCCGGAGGGAUUCCUGUGAACGCAUCCUGUGUCCGCUUCUUGUUCUGUUCCAUGCGCCACUUUCGAUCUACGAGCUGGUGUAG